GCCCGCCUAGCUCAAUCGGAUAGAGCGUCAGACUUUUACGGCGGAGUCACCGAUCUGAAGUACCAUCUGAAGGCUGCGAGUUCGACCCUCGCGGUGGGCU
RNAcentral lists this transfer RNA (100 nucleotides) under Armillaria luteobubalina. It matches the Rfam family "tRNA". From Rfam's summary of the family: Transfer RNA (tRNA) molecules are approximately 80 nucleotides in length. Their secondary structure includes four short double-helical elements and three loops (D, anti-codon, and T loops). Lineage: Eukaryota; Fungi; Basidiomycota; Agaricomycetes; Agaricales; Physalacriaceae. The record is from Rfam by way of RNAcentral.